UAAAACCAGCACCUCAAGUGGUCAGGAUGAUUAUUGGGCCUAAAGCAUCCGUAGCCUGCUCUGUAAGUUUUCGGUUAAAUCUGUAUGCUCAACAUACAGGCCGCCGGGAAUACUGCAGGGCUAGGGAGUGGGAGAGGUAGACGGUACUCGGGAGGAAGUGGUAAAAUGCUUUGAUCUCUCGAUGACCACCUGUGGCGAAGGCGGUCUACCAGAACACGUCCGACGGUGAGGGAUGAAAGCUGGGGGAGCAAACCGGAUUAGAUACCCGGGUAGUCCCAGCCGUAAACUAUGCAAACUCAGUGAUGCAUUGGCUUGUGGCCAAUGCAGUGUUGCAGGGAAGCCGUUAAGUUUGCCGCCUGGGAAGUACGUACGCAAGUAUG
Molecule: ribosomal RNA, 380 nt
Filed under: uncultured crenarchaeote
Lineage: Archaea; Thermoproteati; Thermoproteota
Description: bacterial SSU rRNA
Rfam family: Archaeal small subunit ribosomal RNA
Source: RNAcentral